CACAUUAAAACAAUUUCUUAAAAUCUAAGACUCUCCCUCUCCCUCGGCGCCGCUUAGCCGUUCAUCGCCCCACCAGAGGCUCUCCAGACCAUGCCCUAAGCUCCGAUGACCACGGAGGAAGAGCAAUCAGUCGAACAUGAGGUACGCCCUCCUACAGUUAUCUCUUUUAAAGAUGCCCGAUAAAAUCCCAAAAUCAAAACGAAACUCAGAGAAAGAGUUGAACUACAAACAAAAUAAAAAAUCAACUCGGAAAUCACUUUUUGGUGCUUUUUUUAUUUUUUUGUAUUUUGAUCUUUGUAUAUUUUUUGUUGUUUUUUUUCAUCUCGUUACAUCGUGGACUUGGUCCCUUUUUUAUAGCAUCUAUUUACAGGAUAGAAUAAAAAUAAAAUAAAAUAAAAUAAAAGAAAUCCAAACAAAUCCCGUUUGCUCUGUUGUCCUUGCUUUUUCUCUCUGCCCCCUCUCGCUUGGUGUCUGUUUUUGCUGCUUUUUGUGUGCGUCUCUUGUAGGUACGGAGCGCAGGGUCUGGACGCGGCACGUACGGAGGCUAAGGCGCGCGUACGAGGUAGCAGACAUGGCACCACGCACAUGGGGAGAGGCGCGAGUGGCAACGGCGCAGGAGGCUUUUGCUAUUAGGGUUUUCGGCGCUUGAGGCUGGUUCAAGUUUUGGGCUUCUGUAAUCGGGCUAGGGACUUGGGCCUUUGUAAUUAGAAAUUGGACUUAUUAUAUUGGGUUGUAACUGGACUGUGGACCUUUAAUUUUUAAUUUGGUUUUAUUUUAUUUAUUUUUUUAUUUGGUUUAUUUCACUAAUGGGCUGAGCAAAUUGAGCCUAUUACAAUAAGCACCCCUGUUGUUGGCCCUGGGCUUGUCUGAAAUAUGUUGGUUUGUUGUACCAUACUGACAAAGCUUCAAUGCUAG
RNAcentral lists this long non-coding RNA (915 nucleotides) under Gossypium barbadense (sea-island cotton). Its description in RNAcentral is "long non-coding RNA (GBAR_LNC022928)". The record is from RNAcentral. Lineage: Eukaryota; Viridiplantae; Streptophyta; Magnoliopsida; Malvales; Malvaceae.